GAUAAAGUUCACUCCUGUGUAUGAUUUUACAGUACCUGACUCUAAUUUCUACAUCAGUGUAAUUCUUGGAGUAUUUCCUUGCAUGGAAAUUCACAUGGGCUCCAUUUCCUUGCUGCUUGCUCCUAAGGUAUAACAAAAUUCUUUCUCUGAUGGAAGGAGAGAGGCAGAGUUGCCUGCAGGCUCCAGUUAGCUAGCACCACCAGUCUGAGAGCCAGCCCAGCCUCCUGCCAAUGACUCCAGGAUCUGAAAGAGCCAGGCUCAAAGAGAAGGACCCAAAAGGAAAAGAGAAAUCUACUUUUCUGGACAUCUCUGCCAACACCAGCAGAAGCACAUGACUCUGUUCCUUACCAGGAUGUGGAGGAAAAGAUUUUGCCACAGAGCAUUCUCAGGAUUAAGAAUGUUUCAUCCCUUCCCCAAGAAAUUAUGCUGGUUGCUUAAAGAGCCUACAGAGGUGAGCAGCUGUCUCUGAGUAUCCUGUUUCCAGCAUUAAAAGAGGAAAGUCAUGACUAUUGCCCACGCCUGAUGCUUCCAGAUUUUGACUGAAUCCAGGGAAUUUGUUCAGAAGUAUGAUUCAUUUUCAGAGAUGUGACACCUCCUGUAUGGGAGCAGUGAGAAGGAAAUGGAUCCCCCCUCACCUGACUGCUCCAGCCUGAUGC
Molecule: long non-coding RNA, 656 nt
Organism: Catharus ustulatus (Swainson's thrush)
Lineage: Eukaryota; Metazoa; Chordata; Aves; Passeriformes; Turdidae
Exons: 5
Source: RefSeq, a predicted model, not a curated record